Long non-coding RNA from Haliotis rufescens (red abalone), 851 nucleotides. RefSeq lists it as uncharacterized. NCBI's taxonomy places the organism in Eukaryota, Metazoa, Mollusca, Gastropoda, Lepetellida, Haliotidae. The transcript has 2 exons. The record is from RefSeq and is a predicted model, not a curated record.
CUAUGAAAUGAUGGAUAUUUACCGUUUAUCAAUCGGCAAUUACAUACAGACAAUGAUAAAUAGAACCAAUAAACCACCACAUCCUUGUCGGGCGUCAAACACAUGUCGCCGCUAGUAUGUAUUCUCGCCUGCCCAGUUCAUGGCUUUCAGCAACGGCGACAAACCCAUUAAUCACAACUGAUAAGGCCUGUAUAUCUGUGAAACCCAUUUACCCUUUACCAGUAUGUAUGAAGUCCAUUUACUUGCAACAUAAAAGACCAAAUCAGCAAUAUAGGACAGGUGUGAAAAUGAAUUAUGUGCUGGUGUCAAACCCAAGCAUUCAGAUCAUACUAAAACCCAUUUGUGUUCGGAGCAUGACAUAGCGAGCGCUCGGCACUGGACAUCAUGGCAGCCGCGCGCUAGGAACCCUGGUCCUUUUUGUGACUGUUCUCUCUUCAACCCACAGCUGGUUCAUCAGAAGCGUCCACGAUACAAAGAAUUGUUUCUGCAAGGCUGUCAACAACCACAACUACGGACAAGUCUUUAAAGACUUUGGCUCCAUCCAACACUGCCGGCGUCUUGUCCACUGUCCGUGCAGAGCCCGGGAACUCAUCACAUGUGGCACGGAGUGUGACCGGAAGGUCAAGGAGUGGGCGUGUGACCACGGGUGUGGUGGACUUCCGGCCGGUACAAAGGUCCGGGCAUCCUACAAAGCCAGCGUGUGUAACACCGGCACUGCAUCAGACGUCUACGUAUGUGGCCAACAAAACAACUGUCAUCGUGGCUGACUGAACGCGAUGAUAAUGCGUCUGUUAUCGCAAAACACGGCUGUUGACGUCUAAAGACUAAGAAAUAAAAUCCUAACCUGUAAA